This 493-nucleotide ribosomal RNA is filed under the name uncultured bacterium. RNAcentral describes it as "partial 16S ribosomal RNA". It matches the Rfam family "Bacterial small subunit ribosomal RNA", at positions 27 to 507 of the family's 1533-position model. The record is from RNAcentral.
GAGUGAACGCUGGCGGUCGGCCUACCCCAUGCAAGUCGACCGGCAGCACAGUAAGAGCUUGCUCUUACGGGUGGCGAGUGGCGGACGGGUGAGGAAUACAUCGGAAUCUACUUUUUCGUGGGGGAUAACGUAGGGAAACUUACGCUAAUACCGCAUACGACCUACGGGUGAAAGCAGGGGAUCUUCGGACCUUGCGCGAUUGAAUGAGCCGAUGUCGGAUUAGCUAGUUGGCGGGGUAAAGGCCCACCAAGGCGACGAUCCGUAGCUGGUCUGAGAGGAUGAUCAGCCACACUGGAACUGAGACACGGUCCAGACUCCUACGGGAGGCAGCAGUGGGGAAUAUUGGACAAUGGGCGCAAGCCUGAUCCAGCCAUACCGCGUGGGUGAAGAAGGCCUUCGGGUUGUAAAGCCCUUUUGUUGGGAAAGAAAAUCAGCAGGUUAAUACCCCGCUGUUCUGACGGUACCCAAAGAAUAAGCACCGGCUAACUUCGUG